UGUUUGUUCACAAAAUUGGGAAAGAGUGUAAAAUAGACGGGAAUAUUUUAUCUUAUCGAUGUGAACAGAGUAUUGUCCGCAACAGGUAGCUGAUUACAGAUGACAUCCUCCUGGGAUAUAGCGCAGACCUAAUGGCAACACGUAAGAUAAUACUUAUUAAUUGUGUAAGAGUGUUUUUUAUUUUAUUUUUUUAUACACACUUAUCAGCCACGGCAUUAAUCCCACUGAAGUGAAUAACGUUGAUUAUAUCGUUACAAUGGCACUUGUCAAGGGCUAAGGAUACCUUAGGCAGCAAGUGAACAGUCAGUUCUUAAAUUUCAUGUGUUUGGAGCAGGAAAAAUG
Non-coding RNA from Pelobates cultripes (western spadefoot toad), 342 nucleotides. The record is from the annotation of a GenBank genome assembly. Lineage: Eukaryota; Metazoa; Chordata; Amphibia; Anura; Pelobatidae.